GAUGAGCAUGCGUCCCAUUAGCUAGUUGGUAAGGUAACGGCUUACCAAGGCUACGAUGGGUAGGGGUCCUGAGAGGGAGAUCCCCCACACUGGUACUGAGACACGGACCAGACUCCUACGGGAGGCAGCAGUGAGGAAUAUUGGACAAUGGGCGCAAGCCUGAUCCAGCCAUGCCGCGCGCAGGAUGACGGUCCUAUGGAUUGUAAACUGCUUUUAUACGAGAAGAAACACUCCUUCGUGAAGGAGCUUGACGGUAUCGUAAGAAUAAGGAUCGGCUAACUCCGUGCCAGCAGCCGCG
RNAcentral lists this ribosomal RNA (298 nucleotides) under uncultured soil bacterium. RNAcentral describes it as "partial 16S ribosomal RNA". It matches the Rfam family "Bacterial small subunit ribosomal RNA", at positions 224 to 519 of the family's 1533-position model. The record is from RNAcentral.